Molecule: ribosomal RNA, 456 nt
Filed under: uncultured bacterium
Lineage: Bacteria
Description: bacterial SSU rRNA
Rfam family: Bacterial small subunit ribosomal RNA
Source: RNAcentral
CGAGAAGGUGUAGCAAUACACUUGUAAAGCGGCGAACGGGUGAGGAAUACAUGGGUAAUCUACCAUCGAGUGGGGAAUAACCAACCGAAAGGUUGGCUAAUACCGCGUACGCCUCCGAGUCUUCGGGUUCGGAGGGAAAGCUGCACUGUGAGUGUAGCGCUCUUUGAUGAGCUCAUGUCCUAUCAGCUUGUUGGUGAGGUAAUGGCUCACCAAGGCGACGAUCCGUAACUGGUCUGAGAGGAUGAUCAGUCACACUGGAACUGAGACACGGUCCAGACUCCUACGGGAGGCAGCAGUGGGGAAUAUUGGACAAUGGGCGAAAGCCUGAUCCAGCCAUGCCGCGUGUGUGAAGAAGGUCUUCGGAUUGUAAAGCACUUUAAGUUGGGAGGAAGGGUAGUAACCUAAUACGUUGCUACUUUGACGUUACCGACAGAAUAAGCACCGGCUAACUUCGUG